This 446-nucleotide ribosomal RNA is filed under the name uncultured bacterium. RNAcentral describes it as "partial 16S ribosomal RNA". It matches the Rfam family "Bacterial small subunit ribosomal RNA", at positions 338 to 795 of the family's 1533-position model. The record is from RNAcentral.
CCUACGGGUGGCAGCAGUCGAGAAUCAUUCACAAUGGGGGAAACCCUGAUGGGGCGACGCCGCGUGGGGGAAUGAAGGUCUGCGGAUUGUAAACCCCUGUCAUGUGGGAGCAAAUUAAAAAGAUAGUACCACAAGAGGAAGAGACGGCUAACUCUGUGCCAGCAGCCGCGGUAAUACAGAGGUCUCAAGCGUUGUUCGGAAUCACUGGGCGUAAAGCGUGCGUAGGCUGUUUCGUAAGUCGUGUGUGAAAGGCGCGGGCUCAACCCGCGGACGGCACAUGAUACUGCGAGACUAGAGUAAUGGAGGGGGAACCGGAAUUCUCGGUGUAGCAGUGAAAUGCGUAGAUAUCGCGAGGAACACUCGUGGCGAAGGCGGGUUCCUGGACAUUAACUGACGCUGAGGCACGAAGGCCAGGGGAGCGAAAAGGAUUAGAUACCCGAGUAGUC